This 253-nucleotide ribosomal RNA is filed under the name uncultured bacterium. Its description in RNAcentral is "partial 16S ribosomal RNA". It matches the Rfam family "Bacterial small subunit ribosomal RNA", at positions 524 to 776 of the family's 1533-position model. The record is from RNAcentral.
UACGUAGGGUGCAAGCGUUAAUCGGAAUUACUGGGCGUAAAGCGUGCGCAGGCGGUGAUGUAAGACAGAUGUGAAAUCCCCGGGCUCAACCUGGGAACUGCAUUUGUGACUGCAUCGCUGGAGUACGGCAGAGGGGGAUGGAAUUCCGCGUGUAGCAGUGAAAUGCGUAGAUAUGCGGAGGAACACCGAUGGCGAAGGCAAUCCCCUGGGCCUGCACUGACGCUGAGGCGCGAAAGCUAGGGGAGCAAACGGG